RNAcentral lists this non-coding RNA (1049 nucleotides) under Domecia hispida. Lineage: Eukaryota; Metazoa; Arthropoda; Malacostraca; Decapoda; Domeciidae. The record is from RNAcentral.
GAAAAGUUUGAUUCUUUCUUAGAUUUUUGCGUGUUUAAAAUUAAAUCUGAAUGAAAAUAGUAGUGAGUGUAAGACAAGAAGUUCCAUACUAGUUGCUAGAAGACUAUAAAUUAAUAUAAAUAAUAAAAAAAACGUUCAACAUAAAAUAUUAAUUAAUCUCCUAGAGGAGGAUUUAGUAAAUUGUCUAAACCUGAUUAAAUAUUGUGCCAGCAGUCGCGGUUAAACUUUAAGGUUAAGUAAAAAAAAAUUAGCAAAAGUUAGGCAAAAUAUUAGCAAGAGUUGGUUUUAAAGUAAAUGGGUAAAAUUAGAAAUAUUUUUGAAAUAAAUAAAGCAGAUAAAUACUGAAACUUAAUUAUUCAGGUUUAAACCAGGAUUAGAUACCCUGUUAUACUGAAGUGGUUUAAUUACAAGCUUAAGUAUUUAUAGUUAUUUUCUUAAAAUUUGAAGAAUUUGGCGGUAAUUUAGUCUUGUUAGAGGAGUCUGUUUUUUAAUCGAUAAACCGCGUUUUAUCUUACUUCUUUUUGUUAACCAGCUUAUAUACCGUCAUUAACAAAUAAUUUUUACAAAAAUUUAUUAAGCAUUGUAGUAACAAUUAAAAUUAGAUCAAGGUGUAGCUUAUAAAGAAGUUUAAAUGGAUUACAAUAAAACUUAUUUAACACGGAUUAGUAUUAAAUGAAAUAGAUAUAAAGGAGGAUUUAAUUGUAUAAUAAAGUAUAGUAUACUUAUUAGAUAUAAGCUAUAAAUUGUGUACAUAUCGCCCGUCGCUCUCUUUAUCAAAUUGAGAUAAGUCGUAACACAGUAGUUUUACUGGAAAGUAAAAUUAGUUUAAUAAUUUAUUAAUAAAACUUAUUUAUAAUAAUAUAUUCUAAGAAAAACCUUUUAAAUCCUAAGUAAAGUGUAUUAAAAUGUUGAAUUUUUAAAAAAAAAAUUAUAGUGAACAAGUACUGCGAGGGAAAGAGUCAACCAAAGUAAUUAAAUUAAUAGUAUAUCUAAAUAAUUAUACCUUUUGUAUCAGGGAUUAUCUAAAUAAAUUAAAAAUGAAUAAAAAU